GGAGCGUUAUAACCGGCAGGAGG
Molecule: non-coding RNA, 23 nt
Filed under: Arabidopsis thaliana (thale cress)
Lineage: Eukaryota; Viridiplantae; Streptophyta; Magnoliopsida; Brassicales; Brassicaceae
Source: RNAcentral